CGGACGGGUGAGUAACGCGUGGAUAACCUGCCUUACACUGGGGGAUAACACUUAGAAAUAGGUGCUAAUACCGCAUAAGCGCACAGAGCCGCAUGGCUCAGUGUGAAAAACUCCGGUGGUGUAAGAUGGAUCCGCGUCUGAUUAGCUGGUUGGCGGGGUAGAAGCCCACCAAGGCGACGAUCAGUAGCCGGCCUGAGAGGGUGAACGGCCACAUUGGGACUGAGACACGGCCCAAACUCCUACGGAAGGCAGCAG
This 255-nucleotide ribosomal RNA is filed under the name uncultured bacterium. Its description in RNAcentral is "partial 16S ribosomal RNA". It matches the Rfam family "Bacterial small subunit ribosomal RNA", at positions 99 to 354 of the family's 1533-position model. The record is from RNAcentral.